RNAcentral lists this long non-coding RNA (384 nucleotides) under Brachypodium distachyon (stiff brome). Its description in RNAcentral is "long non-coding RNA (BDIS_LNC003687)". Lineage: Eukaryota; Viridiplantae; Streptophyta; Magnoliopsida; Poales; Poaceae. The record is from RNAcentral.
CAGCUAGUCCACGAGAAGAUCCUCCUUAGAGGCAUUGCGAACUCUAUUGACCUCGGGAGAAGAUCCUCCUUAGAGGCAUUGCGAACUCUAUUGACCUCGGGAGAUGAUGUUGUAGGGCUUGAGGCAGGUCUGCCUUUGUUGCCUUUGCCUUGACCUUUUUUUUUUGUUUUGGCCCGCUUGUAAUUAUUAUAUGAAACAAUUGACUUUUCUUUAAAGAAAGAGUGAAAUCAGAAUAAAACCGAAAUAAACACUAAUAAAAUUUAAAAUUUACUGGAGUAAUAUUUUAUUUAGGUUCACUAAAUCUUUUUCGCUGAAUUUCAGCAAAUCCAAGGAGAGCCCGGUAGCAUGGCACCUUGUCAUAUAUAAAUUUCUUCCCGUGUCCUG